CACAGAGGCGAGCGCAGAGCCGUAAAAUGUCGUAACGUCAGAUAUAAAACGUGACGCCUCUCUUCCUGCGUCCUUCUCUCCGCUUCAACUCGCCUGCGAGAAGACUGUCUAAAACUGGUUUCGGGAACAGUAGACUACAGCAGCACGUGGUGAAUACUCUUGCAGACUCGUGGGUAUGGAGAAAGCUACUGAACUAAAACGUUAUUUUUUCAGAUUACUUUAGUAGUUAAAUGCACUAAUUAUCUUCCACUGCAUUGAUCCAUUGUGGGUGAUUUGGUCUUUGUGGGGGACACGUGUUUAAAGACUUCUCGGAUCUUGUAGAUGGCCAAGUAGCUUGUCAAAUGCGGAAUGUCUCAAAUAGGGCAAAUUCCUCCGUCGGCUUGGCUAGAAUAACAGCAGGUUUGCUUUCAUCACUGUAGAAUCGUUGCAGUGAUGACAAUGAGGCCUGGUAUACUCCGAGCAUGUCUCUACUGCUGUACUUUGAGGCGAUAUGAAGGCAAAUGUUAUUGAUUUCUCCCAACAGGAAAUUCUUCGGCAUCUCCAUGCUGUUUGAAAUGUGUAGUAACCAACAUAUGCAGUAUGGUUUUGGAUGACUGGUCCUCGUGUGAACGGACUGGACAUUCAGGUAAGAAUUUAUUGGGAUAAUGAUGAAUUGGAGGUCUGUAAUGAUGAUUGGCAUUAAUGUUCAACUGCUCUUACUAACCAUGAAAGAGAAUGUGCCAUUCUGAACACUAAAACUCCCUUUCAUUUGAUUAAGAGUGUAAAUAUUAUUUUCUAAUGUUUGUUUCCUACUUUCAGGCUCCAGAACACAAUGUGGGAGAAUAAUCCUGUGAAUUAAUGCAUAAUUUAUUUGAGGAAGCUUGUCCUAAUGGUGCGAUCUGAAGGAUGUCCACUAGAAGGCGCAACACCCCUUUUUGUUGACUGCCGGUGUGUGAGAGGUCCUAUAUGAUUAGAUUGAAGAAUAAAUGUUGGCAGCUGAUCGUUCUUCCAGUACUGCAAGCUGAAAAGUUUGGCGUUAGAGUGAAGGGUUUUCCAGCCAGACAUUUCUUGGAAGGUGAGAGUUGUUCCACACCUUUUGGAUCACUUUCAAAGGGGGUCAGCCACUUCUUUUCACUGGUGACCCUUAACGCUGUGAUCCUACAUCAGUGCCCUAUGAGAUGUUUUGCAAGGGUUUUUGGAAAAUAAACCGCUUGUUGUCUUUAGGGCAACACCUGAUUCACUUUAAAGCAGUAUUAUUGGUCUAUUGUAUUGGCAUGUUUAAUAUGAAUGCAAUUUGCUUUUGUCUCU
Long non-coding RNA from Carassius carassius (crucian carp), 1287 nucleotides. RefSeq lists it as uncharacterized. The record is from RefSeq and is a predicted model, not a curated record. NCBI's taxonomy places the organism in Eukaryota, Metazoa, Chordata, Actinopteri, Cypriniformes, Cyprinidae. The transcript has 6 exons.